UUCUGGCUCAGGAUGAACGCUAGCGAUAGGCCUAACACAUGCAAGUCGAGGGGCAGCACAUGAAGUAGCAAUACGGAUGGUGGCGACCGGCGCACGGGUGAGUAACGCGUAUGCAACCUGCCUACAACAGGGGAAUAACCCGUUGAAAGACGGACUAAUACCCCAUAACACAGGGAUCCCGCAUGGGAAUAUUUGUUAAAGAUUUAUCGGUUGUAGAUGGGCAUGCGUUCCAUUAGCUUGUUGGUGAGGUAACGGCUCACCAAGGCAACGAUGGAUAGGGGAACUGAGAGGUUUAUCCCCCACACUGGUACUGAGACACGGACCAGACUCCUACGGGAGGCAGCAGUGAGGAAUAUUGGUCAAUGGACGCAAGUCUGAACCAGCCACGUCCGCGUGAAGGAAGACGGCCCUACGGGUUGUAAACUUCUUUUGUAAGGGAAUAAAGUGUAGUACGUGUACUAUUUUGCAUGUACCUUACGAAUAAGGAUCGGCUAACUCCGUGCCAGCAGCUGC
RNAcentral lists this ribosomal RNA (513 nucleotides) under uncultured bacterium. RNAcentral describes it as "bacterial SSU rRNA". It matches the Rfam family "Bacterial small subunit ribosomal RNA", at positions 17 to 518 of the family's 1533-position model. The record is from RNAcentral.